RNAcentral lists this small RNA (306 nucleotides) under Arabidopsis thaliana (thale cress). RNAcentral's name for it is "ATSL157400". The record is from RNAcentral. Lineage: Eukaryota; Viridiplantae; Streptophyta; Magnoliopsida; Brassicales; Brassicaceae.
UAAAUUUUGAUAUUUGGGUUUCAAAAACCUUCAAAGAAGAUUUCAAAUGCCGAUUAACUUCUCUGUUGUAGCAAUUUCAAAGUUUUUUCGUUUUGAAACUUUAAAAGUAAAUAGAUUGUUGUUUGGGUUUGUGUUUUAAUUUAUAGAUCCUCACUUAAUUUAUGGGUUACCAGUUGAUUGGAGUUGGUUUGGAAAAGGGUUUUUUGUUUCUAUUUUCAGCGGUUGUGUUCUUUGAAAAGGAUUAAAAUUUUGUUUUUGGAAUGGUUUCAAAACGGUCUUUAAAAAGGAUUAUGGAGUAAUGACUAU